Molecule: regulatory RNA element, 130 nt
Organism: Dorea formicigenerans CAG:28
Lineage: Bacteria; Bacillati; Bacillota; Clostridia; Lachnospirales; Lachnospiraceae
Rfam family: FMN riboswitch aptamer (RFN element)
About the family: The RFN element is a highly conserved domain that is found frequently in the 5'-untranslated regions of prokaryotic mRNAs that encode for flavin mononucleotide (FMN) biosynthesis and transport proteins. This element is a metabolite-dependent riboswitch that directly binds FMN in the absence of proteins.
Source: Rfam
GAGAUUCUUCGGGGCAGGGUGUAAUUCCCAACCGGCGGUAAAGUCCGCGACCCGCUGUGUAAGUGUAUGCAGUGGCUGAUCUGGUGAGAUUCCGGAACCGACAGUAAAGUCUGGAUGAGAGAAGAAUUAU